RNAcentral lists this microRNA precursor (69 nucleotides) under Carlito syrichta (Philippine tarsier). RNAcentral's name for it is "miRNA (ENSTSYG00000033126.1)". The record is from RNAcentral. Lineage: Eukaryota; Metazoa; Chordata; Mammalia; Primates; Tarsiidae.
CAGGGAGGAGGUGGUACUAGGGGCCAGCAGACACUGAUUCCCCCUUAUUGGUGCUCUGUGCCCCUCCAG